GACGAACGCUGGCGGCGUGCUUAACACAUGCAAGUCGAACGGAAAGGCCCUGCUUUUGUGGGGUGCUCGAGUGGCGAACGGGUGAGUAACACGUGAGUAACCUGCCCUUGACUUUGGGAUAACUUCAGGAAACUGGGGCUAAUACCGGAUAGGAGCUCCUGCUGCAUGGUGGGGGUUGGAAAGUUUCGGCGGUUGGGGAUGGACUCGCGGCUUAUCAGCUUGUUGGUGGGGUAGUGGCUUACCAAGGCUUUGACGGGUAGCCGGCCUGAGAGGGUGACCGGCCACAUUGGGACUGAGAGACGGACCAGACGCCUACGGGAGGCAGCAGUGGGGAAUAUUGCACAAUGGGCGGAAGCCUGAUGCAGCAACGCCGCGUGCGGGAUGACGGCCUUCGGGGUGUAAACCGCUUUCGCCUGUGACGAAGCGUGAGUGACGGUAAUGGGUAAAGAAGCACCGGCUAACUACGUG
Molecule: ribosomal RNA, 468 nt
Filed under: uncultured bacterium
Lineage: Bacteria
Description: partial 16S ribosomal RNA
Rfam family: Bacterial small subunit ribosomal RNA
Source: RNAcentral